GAAAUGCGAUAAGUAGUGUGAAUUGCAGAAUUCAGUGAAUCAUCGAAUCUUUGAACGCACAUUGCGCCCCUCGGUAUUCCGUGGGGCAUGCCUGUUCGAGCGUCAUCUACACCCUCAAGCUCUGCUUGGUGUUGGCGUCUGUCCCGCCUCCGCGCGCGGACUCGCCCCAAAUGCAUUGGCAGCGGUUCCUUGCCCCCCUCUUUGCGCAGCACAUUGCCAUUCGAGGCGGCGGCGGCCCGCGUCCAACAAGCUCAACCCCCCCGUCUUUGACCUCGGAUCAGGUAGGGAUACCCGCUGAACUUAAGC
RNAcentral lists this unclassified non-coding RNA (306 nucleotides) under plant metagenome. RNAcentral's name for it is "partial contains 5.8S ribosomal RNA, internal transcribed spacer 2, and large subunit ribosomal RNA". The stretch from base 1 to 105 matches the Rfam family "5.8S ribosomal RNA", at positions 50 to 154 of the family's 154-position model. The record is from RNAcentral.